This 253-nucleotide ribosomal RNA is filed under the name uncultured bacterium. RNAcentral describes it as "partial 16S ribosomal RNA". It matches the Rfam family "Bacterial small subunit ribosomal RNA", at positions 524 to 776 of the family's 1533-position model. The record is from RNAcentral.
UACGUAGGGUCCGAGCGUUGUCCGGAAUUACUGGGCGUAAAGAGCUCGUAGGUGGUUUGUCGCGUUGUUCGUGAAAACCUGAGGCUUAACCUUGGGCGUGCGGGCGAUACGGGCAGACUGGAGUACUGCAGGGGAGACUGGAAUUCCUGGUGUAGCGGUGGAAUGCGCAGAUAUCAGGAGGAACACCGGUGGCGAAGGCGGGUCUCUGGGCAGUAACUGACGCUGAGGAGCGAAAGCGUGGGUAGCAAACAGG